RNAcentral lists this ribosomal RNA (253 nucleotides) under uncultured bacterium. RNAcentral's name for it is "partial 16S ribosomal RNA". It matches the Rfam family "Bacterial small subunit ribosomal RNA", at positions 524 to 776 of the family's 1533-position model. The record is from RNAcentral.
UACAGAGGUGGCAAGCGUUGUUCGGAAUUACUGGGCGUAAAGGGCGCGUAGGCGGUCUUCUAAGUCUUGUGUGAAAUCCCUCGGCUUAACUGAGGAACUGCACGGGAUACUGGAUGACUUGAGUUCGGGAGAGGGAAGCGGAAUUCCGGGUGUAGCGGUGAAAUGCGUAGAUAUCUGGAGGAACACCGGUGGCGAAGGCGGCGUUCUGGACUGCAACUGACACUGAGGAACGAAAGCCAGGGGAGCAAACGGG